AAUCUCUUCUGAUGACGUGCACUGGGCUCUGAGACCACAUGCUGACAACGUGCAUCUUUGGCCCUGACAAGCCAAAGAGUCUGAGGAGACU
Small nucleolar RNA from Nerophis lumbriciformis (worm pipefish), 91 nucleotides. Lineage: Eukaryota; Metazoa; Chordata; Actinopteri; Syngnathiformes; Syngnathidae. The record is from RefSeq and is a predicted model, not a curated record.